RNAcentral lists this ribosomal RNA (509 nucleotides) under uncultured bacterium. Its description in RNAcentral is "bacterial SSU rRNA". It matches the Rfam family "Bacterial small subunit ribosomal RNA", at positions 30 to 518 of the family's 1533-position model. The record is from RNAcentral.
CGAACGCUGGCGGCGUGCUUAACACAUGCAAGUCGAACGCGAAAGGGACUUCGGUCCUGAGUAGAGUGGCGCACGGGUGAGUAACGCGUAGAUAACCUGUCUUCAUGUCUGGAAUAAUACGCCGAAAGGGGUACUAAUACCGGAUAUUCUUGCUUUUCAUAAGUUAUGCAAGCAAAGGUGGCCUCUGCAUAUGCUACUGCAUGAAGAGGGGUCUGCGUACCAUUAGCUAGUAGGUGGGGUAAUGGCCUACCUAGGCGACGAUGGUUAGCGGGUCUGAGAGGAUGAUCCGCCACACUGGCACUGGAACACGGGCCAGACUCCUACGGGAGGCAGCAGUGAGGAAUAUUGCGCAAUGGGGGAAACCCUGACGCAGCGACGCCGCGUGAGUGAAGGAAGGCCUUCGGGUCGUAAAGCUCUGUCAAGAGGAAAGAAGUGUACAAUGGCUAAUACCUGUUGUAUUUGACGGUACCUCUAAAGGAAGCACCGGCUAACUCCGUGCCAGCAGCCGC